UACGUAGGGGGCAAGCGUUAUCCGGAUUUACUGGGUGUAAAGGGAGCGUAGACGGCAUAUAAAGUCUGAAGUGAAAACCCGCAGCUCAACUGCGGAGUUGCUUUGGAAACUUAUAAGCUGGAGUGUCGGAGGGGUAAGCGGAAUUCCCAGUGUAGCGGUGAAAUGCGUAGAUAUUGGGAGGAACACCGGAGGCGAAGGCGGCUUACUGGAAGAUAACUGACGUUGAGGCUCGAAGGCGUGGGUAGCAAACAGG
This 253-nucleotide ribosomal RNA is filed under the name uncultured Lachnospiraceae bacterium. RNAcentral describes it as "partial 16S ribosomal RNA". It matches the Rfam family "Bacterial small subunit ribosomal RNA", at positions 524 to 776 of the family's 1533-position model. The record is from RNAcentral. Lineage: Bacteria; Bacillati; Bacillota; Clostridia; Lachnospirales; Lachnospiraceae.